This 429-nucleotide ribosomal RNA is filed under the name Acidobacteriota bacterium. RNAcentral's name for it is "Acidobacteria bacterium partial 16S ribosomal RNA". It matches the Rfam family "Bacterial small subunit ribosomal RNA", at positions 355 to 776 of the family's 1533-position model. Lineage: Bacteria; Pseudomonadati; Acidobacteriota. The record is from RNAcentral.
UGGGGGAUUUUGGACAAUGGGGGAAACCCUGAUCCAGCCAUCCCGCGUGUGCGAUGAAGGCCUUCGGGUUGUAAAGCACUUUUGGCAGGAAAGAAACGUCAUGGGUUAAUACCCCGUGAAACUGACGGUACCUGCAGAAUAAGCACCGGCUAACUACGUGCCAGCAGCCGCGGUAAUACGUAGGGUGCAAGCGUUAAUCGGAAUUACUGGGCGUAAAGCGUGCGCAGGCGGUUCGGAAAGAAAGAUGUGAAAUCCCGGAGCUCAACUUUGGAACGGCAUUAUUAACUACCGGGCUAGGGUGUGUCAGAGGGAGGUGGAAUUCCGCGUGUAGCAGUGAAAUGCGUAGAUAUGCGGGGGAACACCGAUGGCGAAGGCAGCCUCCUGGGAUAACACUGACGCUCAUGCACGAAAGCGUGGGGAGCAAACAGG